This 643-nucleotide ribosomal RNA is filed under the name Salmonella enterica subsp. enterica serovar Enteritidis. RNAcentral describes it as "partial 23S ribosomal RNA". It matches the Rfam family "Bacterial large subunit ribosomal RNA", at positions 1 to 678 of the family's 2925-position model. The record is from RNAcentral. Lineage: Bacteria; Pseudomonadati; Pseudomonadota; Gammaproteobacteria; Enterobacterales; Enterobacteriaceae.
GGGUUGUGAGGUUAAGCGACUAAGCGUACACGGUGGAUGCCCUGGCAGUCAGAGGCGAUGAAGGGCGUGCUAAUCUGCGAUAAGCGCCGGUAAGGUGAUAUGAACCGUUAUAACCGGCGAUACCCGAAUGGGGAAACCCAGUGUGAUUCGUCACACUAUCAUUAACUGAAUCCAUAGGUUAAUGAGGCGAACCGGGGGAACUGAAACAUCUAAGUACCCCGAGGAAAAGAAAUCAACCGAGAUUCCCCCAGUAGCGGCGAGCGAACGGGGAGGAGCCCAGAGCCUGAAUCAGCAUGUGUGUUAGUGGAAGCGUCUGGAAAGGCGCGCGAUACAGGGUGACAGCCCCGUACACAAAAGCGCAUGUGCUGUGAGCUCGAUGAGUAGGGCGGGACACGUGGUAUCCUGUCUGAAUAUGGGGGGACCAUCCUCCAAGGCUAAAUACUCCUGACUGACCGAUAGUGAACCAGUACCGUGAGGGAAAGGCGAAAAGAACCCCGGCGAGGGGAGUGAAAAAGAACCUGAAACCGUGUACGUACAAGCAGUGGGAGCACCCUUUGGGUGUGACUGCGUACCUUUUGUAUAAUGGGUCAGCGACUUAUAUUCUGUAGCAAGGUUAACCGAAUAGGGGAGCCGGAGGGAAACC